GGUAAGGUAACGGCUUACCAAGGCGAUGACGGGUAGCUGAUGUGAGAGCAUGAUCAGCCUCGAUGGGACUGAGACACGGCCCAUACUCCUACGGGAGGCAGCAGUGAAGAAUCUUCCGCAAUGGACGAAAGUCUGACGGAGCAACACCGCGUGGUGGAUGAAGGCCUUCGGGUCGUAAACACCUUUUCUGAGGGAAUAAGUUCUGAAGGUACCUCAGGAAUAAGGCGCUGCUAACUACGUGCCAGCAGCAGCGGUAAUACGUAGGCGCCAAGCGUUAUCCGGAAUUAUUGGGCGUAAAGCGUCUGUCGGCGGCAAUGCAAGUCUGGUGUGAAAUUUCAAUGCUUAACAUUGAAUGCGUAUCGGAAACUGUAUUGCUAGAGUCUAAGAAGAGCCACUGGAAUUUCCGUUGUAGGGGUAAAAUCCGUAGAUAACGGAAGGAACACCAAAAGCGAAAGCAGGUGGCUGGCUUAGUACUGACGCUCAGAGACGAAAGCGUGGGGAGCGAACGGGAUUAGAUACCCCGGUAGUCCACGCUGUAAACGAUGAGUGCUAGGUAUUGGAGGGAUUUGACCCCCUUCAGUGCCCACAGCUAACGCGUUAAGCACUCCGCCUGGGGAGUACGGUCGCAAGACUAAAACUCAAAGGAAUAGACGGGGACCCGCACAAGCGGUGGAUCAUGUGGUUUAAUUCGACGAUAAGCGAGAAACCUCACCUAGACUUGACAUCUCGAGAAGGUUCUGGAAACAGAACUGUGCCGCAAGGAACUCGAUGACAGGUGCUGCAUGGUUGUCGUCAGCUCGUGCCCUGAGGUGUUCGGUUAAGUCCGUAAACGAGCGCAACCCUUGUCAUAUGUUGUAUUUCUCAUAUGAAACUGCCGGCUCCAAGCCGGAGGAAGGUAGGGAUGACGUCAAAUCAGCAUGGCCCUUAUGUCUAGGGCUACACACGUGAUACAAUGGGUCGUACAAUGGGUAGCCAAGGAGCAAUCCGGAGCCAAUCCCUAAAACGAUCCUCAGUUCGGAUUGAGGUCUGCAACUCGACCUCAUGAAGUUGGAAUCGCUAGUAACCGUGGAUCAUAACG
Molecule: ribosomal RNA, 1078 nt
Filed under: uncultured organism
Description: bacterial SSU rRNA
Rfam family: Bacterial small subunit ribosomal RNA
Source: RNAcentral